This is a long non-coding RNA of Drosophila miranda, 414 nucleotides long. RefSeq lists it as uncharacterized. NCBI's taxonomy places the organism in Eukaryota, Metazoa, Arthropoda, Insecta, Diptera, Drosophilidae. The record is from RefSeq and is a predicted model, not a curated record. The transcript is spliced from 3 exons.
ACUUGUUGAUGCAUUAACAUAAACUUGACAUCUGUAUCAGGUGCAAACAGCAAAAAUAUGUGAAAACUGGAGAGCCUUAAAACGAAACGUUUUAGCUGAAAACGUGAUCCGCAAAAGUAAAUGAAAAACGGAGCCUGCCUGUUAUGUUGAAUUUUUCUAAAAAAAAAAAUUCUCAAUAUUUGGAUGGAUAACGAUAGAAAUGCUUCCACUGUUUUGAGCUUAAUAUUUGACCAACUAGAGACAUGUAUGUAUUUAACAAGCGAUGAGAACAACGAUGAAAUAAGUACGAGCUUUCCAAAAUGCGGUAUCUAUACAUAUGGCAAAUUUAUGGAUAUGAAUUUGGAAUGCAUAUUAUCUAAAAUAAGCGUAAUAUGAAAAAAUAUAUAAAUAAAAUAUAUCAUAAAAUAAUCACAU